This 497-nucleotide ribosomal RNA is filed under the name uncultured bacterium. Its description in RNAcentral is "partial 16S ribosomal RNA". It matches the Rfam family "Bacterial small subunit ribosomal RNA", at positions 28 to 507 of the family's 1533-position model. The record is from RNAcentral.
GAUGAACGCUGGCGGCGUGCCUAAUACAUGCAAGUCGAGCGAACAGACGAGGAGCUUGCUCCUCGGACGUUAGCGGCGGACGGGUGAGUAACACGUGGAUAACCUACCUAUAAGACUGGGAUAACUUCGGGAAACCGGAGCUAAUACCGGAUAAGAUAUUGAACCGCAUGGUUCAAUAGUGAAAGACGGUUUUGCUGUUUCUUAUAGAUGGAUCCGCGCCGCAUUAGCUAGUUGGUAAGGUAACGGCUUACCAAGGCAACGAUGCGUAGCCGACCUGAGAGGGGGGUCGGCGACAUUGGAGCUGGACCGCGGUCCAGGCGCCUGCGGGACGCAGCAGUCGGGAAUCUUACGCAAUGGGCGAAAGCUUGGCGGAGUGACGCCGCGUGAGUGAUGAAGGUGUUCGGAUCGUAAUACCCUGUUAUUAGGGAAGAACAAAUUUGAAAGUAACUAUGCAGGUCUUGACGGUACCUAAUCAGAAAGCCCCGGCUAACUACGUG